GGGCCCGUGAUCUAGCCUGGAUAAGAUACCUGGCUUCGGACCAGGAAAUCGGGGGUUCGAAUCCCUCCGGGCCCGCCA
This 78-nucleotide transfer RNA is filed under the name Hadesarchaea archaeon B3_Hades. Its description in RNAcentral is "tRNA-Arg". It matches the Rfam family "tRNA". Rfam says of the family: Transfer RNA (tRNA) molecules are approximately 80 nucleotides in length. RNAcentral also lists the same sequence under 1 other name. Lineage: Archaea; Methanobacteriati; Hadarchaeota (SeqCode); Hadarchaeia (SeqCode). The record is from RNAcentral.